CCUACGGGAGGCAGCAGUGGGGGAUAUUGCACAAUGGGGGAAACCCUGAUGCAGCGACGCCGCGUGGGUGAAGAAGUAUUUCGGUAUGUAAAGCCCUAUCAGCAGGGAAGAAAGACGACGGUACCUGACUAAGAAGCCCCGGCUAACUACGUGCCAGCAGCCGCGGUAAUACGUAGGGGGCGAGCGUUAUCCGGAUUCACUGGGUGUAAAGGGAGCGUAGACGGCCGUGCAAGCCAGGAGUGAAAGCCCGGGGCCCAACCCCGGGACUGCUCUUGGAACUGUGCGGCUGGAGUGCGGGAGGGGCAGGCGGAAUUCCUGGUGUAGCGGUGAAAUGCGUAGAUAUCAGGAGGAACACCGGCGGCGAAGGCGGCCUGCUGGACCGCGACUGACGUUGAGGCUCGAAAGCGUGGGGAGCGAACAGGAUUAGAUACCCUAGUAGUC
RNAcentral lists this ribosomal RNA (441 nucleotides) under uncultured bacterium. RNAcentral's name for it is "partial 16S ribosomal RNA". It matches the Rfam family "Bacterial small subunit ribosomal RNA", at positions 338 to 795 of the family's 1533-position model. The record is from RNAcentral.